Long non-coding RNA from Felis catus (domestic cat), 656 nucleotides. RefSeq lists it as uncharacterized. The transcript has 5 exons. The record is from RefSeq and is a predicted model, not a curated record. Lineage: Eukaryota; Metazoa; Chordata; Mammalia; Carnivora; Felidae.
CCUGUCGUCCCGGUGGCUGAAAGGGAAGGACAACGUGAGAGGCAGGGACGUGCUGGUGACCGUGAGGGGAAGGCGGUCGACCACGCUGGCACAGCGCCGUGUGACAGCCAAUGGAGGACUUGCGUGUGGUCGUACCAGAUAUAACCUGAAUAAGUAAAAGCUCUUUGGGACCCUUGAUGAUUUCUGAAAGCAUAACGGGGUUAUGACAUCAGGACGUUCGAUACCCAAUAUGCUAACUUAAGACCGUCUUUAAAGAACGUGCUGCCUGAACACCAGCGAUGAAGCUACUCAUGACUCAUGAGCUUGGAGAGAAACCCUACAGACAGAGCAGGAGAGCAAGGUCUGAAGUGACCUCGGAGCCACAACCUGGAGCAGCUGGGAAGACAUGACAUUUUCUGAGGGGACACGACAGUCAGAUGUCAGAAACGCCCGAAAUACACCUACAGGUGGAGCCGGGACCCGUGGGAGCUGCACUGUGGUCGCGGAAGUGCCCGUGACACUUCAUCCACCGGGGGCGAUCUUACCCCCCCGGUGACAUCUUUCUGAUUUGCUGCUUUUAAUCUCCAAUAGAGACUGCAGGACGAUUUUUCACAUAAACUCGGCCUUGGGUUGAUAAAUAACAACUGCUAAAAACAAAUCUAGUCUCUUUUACAGAG